Molecule: ribosomal RNA, 328 nt
Filed under: uncultured eukaryote
Lineage: Eukaryota
Description: partial 18S ribosomal RNA
Rfam family: Eukaryotic small subunit ribosomal RNA
Source: RNAcentral
CCCUUAGAUGUUCUGGGCCGCACGCGCGCUACACUGACUGGUGCAACAAGUGUCUGACCUUGGCUCGAGAGGCCUGGGCAACCUUUGAACGCCAGUCGUGCUGGGGAUAGAUUCUUGCAAUUAUUAAUCUUCAACGAGGAAUUCCUAGUAAACGCAAGUCAUCAGCUUGCAUUGAUUACGUCCCUGCCCUUUGUACACACCGCCCGUCGCACCUACCGAUUGAAUGGUCCGGUGAAGCCUCGGGAUUGUGGUUCUUGCCGCUUUAUUGUGGCGUGACCGCGAGAACUUGUCUAAACCUUAUCAUCUAGAGGAAGGUGAAGUCGUAACA